AUACGUAGGUGGCGAGCGUUGUCCGGAAUUACUGGGCGUAAAGGGCGUGUAGGCGGGGGGACAAGUCAGAUGUGAAAUACCGCAGCUUAACUGCGGGGUUGCAUCUGAAACUGUUCUUCUUGAGUGUCGGAGAGAAAAGUGGAAUUCCCAGUGUAGCGGUGAAAUGCGUAGAGAUUGGGAGGAACACCAGUGGCGAAGGCGGCUUUCUGGACGACAACUGACGCUGAGGCGCGAAAGCGUGGGGAGCAAACAGGAUUAGAUACCCUGGUAGUCCACGCUGUAAACGAUGGAUACUAGGUGUAGGAGGUAUCGACCCCUUCUGUGCCGGAGUUAACACAAUAAGUAUCCCGCCUGGGGAGUACGGCCGCAAGGUUGAA
This 377-nucleotide ribosomal RNA is filed under the name uncultured bacterium. RNAcentral describes it as "bacterial SSU rRNA". It matches the Rfam family "Bacterial small subunit ribosomal RNA", at positions 523 to 898 of the family's 1533-position model. The record is from RNAcentral.